RNAcentral lists this transfer RNA (87 nucleotides) under Kangiellaceae bacterium. RNAcentral's name for it is "tRNA-Leu". It matches the Rfam family "tRNA". From Rfam's summary of the family: Transfer RNA (tRNA) molecules are approximately 80 nucleotides in length. Their secondary structure includes four short double-helical elements and three loops (D, anti-codon, and T loops). Further hydrogen bonds mediate the characteristic L-shaped molecular structure. tRNAs have two regions of fundamental functional importance: the anti-codon, which is responsible for specific mRNA codon recognition, and the 3' end, to which the tRNAs corresponding amino acid is attached (by aminoacyl-tRNA synthetases). tRNAs cope with the degeneracy of the genetic code in two manners: having more than one tRNA (with a specific anti-codon) for a particular amino acid; and 'wobble' base-pairing, i.e. permitting non-standard base-pairing at the 3rd anti-codon position. Lineage: Bacteria; Pseudomonadati; Pseudomonadota; Gammaproteobacteria; Kangiellales; Kangiellaceae. The record is from RNAcentral.
GCCGAAGUGGUGGAAUUGGUAGACACGCUAUCUUGAGGGGGUAGUGGCCGUAUGGCCGUGCGAGUUCAAGUCUCGCCUUCGGCACCA